CAGCAGCCGCGGUAAUACGUAGGUCCCGAGCGUUGUCCGGAUUUAUUGGGCGUAAAGCGAGCGCAGGCGGUUAGAUAAGUCUGAAGUUAAAGGCUGUGGCUUAACCAUAGUACGCUUUGGGAACUGUUUAACUUGAGUGCAAGAGGGGAGAGUGGAAUUCCAUGUGUAGCGGUGAAAUGCGUAGAUAUAUGGAGGAACACCGGUGGCGAAAGCGGCUCUCUGGCUUGUAACUGACGCUGAGGCUCGAAAGCGUGGGGAGCAAACAGGAUUAGAUACCCCCGUAGUCCCUGUCUCUUAUACA
This 301-nucleotide ribosomal RNA is filed under the name uncultured bacterium. RNAcentral's name for it is "partial 16S ribosomal RNA". It matches the Rfam family "Bacterial small subunit ribosomal RNA", at positions 509 to 808 of the family's 1533-position model. The record is from RNAcentral.